CGUUAAAUUUGUUGUAAAUUAGUAUGCAAAAAAAAAAAAGAGAAACAAAAAAAAGAGAUACAAAGCCACGUGCGAGCUUUUUGGCCCUUUUGCGAAAGGUAGAUCCAGGCACGUACGUGCUCUGAAGGAUUUUGAAAUGCUUACAUGCCUAAUUAGGAGCGUAAUUCAAAACAAAAGGACAAAGGGACACCAACGGCAAAAAUGCCAGUGAGUCGUGUCAACUGGGAAUCGAGUUACGUUGCAAAUUGUUAAGCUUUCAAGUAGCGAUGGAAGAACAACAAUGUCAGGAGCAGCAAUGUUGAUGUUAAUCAAAGUGAAUAUCGAAGACAAUUAACUCCAUCAGGGCCAGUCUGAUGUGCUUUGUGUGUCGUAGCCUGGCUUACUAAUUAAUCAAAACAAUCAGCAGCGCAUUUUCGUGUCAUGUGUGCUCUCGCAGUACCCCAGAGCCGAGCAGGAGAGGCCAAGGGACGACCUUGUCUGAUCCGCCAA
This is a long non-coding RNA of Drosophila navojoa, 489 nucleotides long. NCBI's taxonomy places the organism in Eukaryota, Metazoa, Arthropoda, Insecta, Diptera, Drosophilidae. The record is from RefSeq and is a predicted model, not a curated record.